This 347-nucleotide unclassified non-coding RNA is filed under the name soil metagenome. Its description in RNAcentral is "partial contains 5.8S ribosomal RNA, internal transcribed spacer 2, and large subunit ribosomal RNA". The stretch from base 1 to 120 matches the Rfam family "5.8S ribosomal RNA", at positions 35 to 154 of the family's 154-position model. The record is from RNAcentral.
GAUGAAGAACGUAGCGAAAUGCGAUAACUAAUGUGAAUUGCAGAAUUCCGUGAAUCAUCGAGUCUUUGAACGCACAUUGCGCCCCCUGGUAUUCCGGGGGGCAUGCCUGUCCGAGCGUCAUUGCUGCCCAUCAAGCACGGCUUGCGUGUUGGGUCCCGUCCCCCUCUCCCGGGGGACGGACCCGAAAGGCAGCGGCGGCACCGCGUCCGGUCCUCGAGCGUAUGGGGCUUUGUCACCCGCUCUUGUAGGCCCGGCCGGUGCUUGCCGACACCCAACCAUUUUUUUCAGGUUGACCUCGGAUCAGGUAGGGAUACCCGCUGAACUUAAGCAUAUCAAUAAGCGGAGGA